Molecule: non-coding RNA, 145 nt
Organism: Homo sapiens (human)
Lineage: Eukaryota; Metazoa; Chordata; Mammalia; Primates; Hominidae
Rfam family: Metazoan signal recognition particle RNA
About the family: The signal recognition particle (SRP) is a universally conserved ribonucleoprotein. It is involved in the co-translational targeting of proteins to membranes. The eukaryotic SRP consists of a 300-nucleotide 7S RNA and six proteins: SRPs 72, 68, 54, 19, 14, and 9.
Source: Rfam
GCCGGGCGUGGUGGCGUGCGCCUGUAAUCCAGCUACUCGGGAGGCUGAAGCAGGAGAAUUGCUUGAACCCAGGAGGUGGAGGCUGCAGUGAGCCGAGACAGCAGCACCACUGCAGCCUGGGUGACAGAGCGAGACUCUGUCUCAA